Non-coding RNA from Lingula anatina, 46 nucleotides. Lineage: Eukaryota; Metazoa; Brachiopoda; Lingulata; Lingulida; Lingulidae. The record is from Rfam.
CAAACGGUCCUUUUCAGGACCAACCAUAUCUUUCCAGGAAAGCUAU